This is a small nuclear RNA of Phodopus roborovskii (desert hamster), 107 nucleotides long. Lineage: Eukaryota; Metazoa; Chordata; Mammalia; Rodentia; Cricetidae. The record is from RefSeq and is a predicted model, not a curated record.
AUGCUCACUUCUGCAGCACAUAUAUUAAAAUUUGAAUGAUACAGAGAAGAUUAGCAUGGCCCCUGUGCAAGGAUGACAUGCAAAUUUGUGAAGUGUUCUAUAUUUUG